CCGGCGACGGGUGAGUAACACGUAUGCUACCCACCUAGUAACGAGGGGAUAACCCGGAGAAAUCCGGACUAAUACCCCAUAAUAUGGGCGCUCCGCAUGGAGAGCCCAUUAAAGAGAGCAAUUUUGGUUACAGACGAGCAUGCGCUCCAUUAGCCAGUUGGCGGGGUAACGGCCCACCAAAGCGACGAUGGAUAGGGGUUCUGAGAGGAAGGUCCCCCACAUUGGAACUGAGACACGGUCCAA
This 243-nucleotide ribosomal RNA is filed under the name uncultured bacterium. RNAcentral describes it as "partial 16S ribosomal RNA". It matches the Rfam family "Bacterial small subunit ribosomal RNA", at positions 102 to 334 of the family's 1533-position model. The record is from RNAcentral.